CGCGUUAAGUCGACCGCCUGGGGAGUACGGCCGCAAGGUUAAAACUCAAAUGAAUUGACGGGGGCCCGCACAAGCGGUGGAGCAUGUGGUUUAAUUCGAUGCAACGCGAAGAACCUUACCUACUCUUGACAUCCAGAGAACUUAGCAGAGAUGCUUUGGUGCCUUCGGGAACUCUGAGACAGGUGCUGCAUGGCUGUCGUCAGCUCGUGUUGUGAAAUGUUGGGUUAAGUCCCGCAACGAGCGCAACCCUUAUCCUUUGUUGCCAGCGGUUAGGCCGGGAACUCAAAGGAGACUGCCAGUGAUAAACUGGAGGAAGGUGGGGAUGACGUCAAGUCAUCAUGGCCCUUACGAGUAGGGCUACACACGUGCUACAAUGGCGCAUACAAAGAGAAGCGACCUCGCGAGAGCAAGCGGACCUCAUAAAGUGCGUCGUAGUCCGGAUUGGAGUCUGCAACUCGACUCCAUGAAGUCGGAAUCGCUAGUAAUCGUAGAUCAGAAUGCUACGGUGAAUACGUUCCCGGGCCUUGUACACACCGCCCGUCACACCAUGGGAGUGGGUUGCAAAAGAAGUAGGUAGCUUAACCUUCGGGAGGGCGCUUACCACUUUGUGAUUCAUGACUGGGGUGAAGUCGUAACAAGGUAACCAAGGGCGAAUUCCAG
This 660-nucleotide ribosomal RNA is filed under the name uncultured Serratia sp. RNAcentral describes it as "bacterial SSU rRNA". It matches the Rfam family "Bacterial small subunit ribosomal RNA", at positions 856 to 1516 of the family's 1533-position model. Lineage: Bacteria; Pseudomonadati; Pseudomonadota; Gammaproteobacteria; Enterobacterales; Yersiniaceae. The record is from RNAcentral.